AAUAUGGAGCGAAAUAAAAAGUGGAGGUUUGUAAAAAGGGCCAUAAAUAUUAAGUAAUCGCCUUGGAUAAAGGCAGAAAAUCUCGUUUUCCAUCGGAUUUUGUUCCUAAUACGGCCGUACAUAUAGUUGACCACGAUUAUAAUGUUUAAAGGUUAGAAAGUUGCGAUGAACACGUUGUACAUCAUGUUGCUAGACAAGAAGAUGUGACCACGGAUAAUUUAGACGAUAGAGAAUGGAGUAUUGGAAGAAGAGUGGUAGAAUUGGAGACCUUGGCUGAUGCACUUAAAGCAUGUUAUCUUUGCAGUCAGCCAUUACAUCUCUUAAACUGUGUGGGUGAAAAAAAACUGGUUUAGCCCAAAUUUUACUUGUGAAAUGCCAAUAUCCUGAGUGUGGUUUUAUAAAUGAUAUACCAUCUGGCACUAAACAUGCUACAGUAAAUGGUGGCCAAGCCUGGGAUGUCAAAACAAAGUAAGCUGCAGGUGAAACCUACCAAUCAAAGAUUGCUUUUCAAGAUCAUGCUGAUCUCCAGGACAUUGUUUUGAAGCAAGACCAAGUUUCUCCAGAUCAUAGUCCACAAUGAUAUUUUUUCACUUUUGGCUAGCCAGAACACCAGAUAUUCUACAGAUUGCUGCGGUAUCAGGGAAUGAAGAGAUGAAUGUUCUAUAUGCGACCAACAACUCAGAUUUGCCUUGAAGCUUCUGCGGCCACUCGGCUGGCAUACAUUGGUG
This is a long non-coding RNA of Saccostrea cuccullata (small rock oyster), 728 nucleotides long. RefSeq lists it as uncharacterized. The record is from RefSeq and is a predicted model, not a curated record. The transcript is spliced from 3 exons. Lineage: Eukaryota; Metazoa; Mollusca; Bivalvia; Ostreida; Ostreidae.